GGCUGUCCGCCAGUGUAAAUAACUGGUGAAGAAAGGGCCGGGCAAGACCGGUGCCAGCCGCCGCGGUAAUACCGGCGGCUCGAGUGGUGGCCACUAUUACUGGGCUUAAAGCGUUCGUAGCUGGUCUAUUAAGUCUCUGGGGAAAUCUUCCGGCUAAACCGGAAGGCGUCUCAGGGAUACUGGCAGACUAGGGACCGGAAGAGGUGAGAGGUACUCCAGGGGUAGGAGUGAAAUCCUGUAAUCCUUGGGGGACCACCUGUGGCGAAGGCGUCUCACCAGGACGGCUCCGACAGUGAGGAACGAAAGCUGGGGGAGCAAACCGGAUUAGAUACCCGGGUAGUCCCAGCUGUAAACGAUGCGCGUUAGGUGUAUCGGUGACCACGAGUCACCGAGGUGCCGAAGAGAAAUCGUGAAACGCGCCGCCUGGGAAGUACGGUCGCAAGGCUGAAACUUAA
This 455-nucleotide ribosomal RNA is filed under the name uncultured archaeon. RNAcentral describes it as "bacterial SSU rRNA". It matches the Rfam family "Archaeal small subunit ribosomal RNA", at positions 405 to 859 of the family's 1478-position model. The record is from RNAcentral.